AUAAGAACUCAGUCACUGUAACGAGAACAGCAAGGGGGAAAUUCGCUCCGAUGAUCCAGUCACCUCUCACCAGGCCCCUCCUCCAACACUGGGGUUUACAAUUGGAAAUUUUCUCAGGGACACAAAUCCAAGACAUAUCACAUUCCUGUGCCACCCCCAUCAUGUGUCUCUAAAGACCCCAGACUCAGUCAGUAGAGGGGAGAUGGCCUGACUUUGGGGAGGAGACAGCCUGACUUCAGGGAAGAAAUGGCCUGACUUCGGGACAAAGACCUCCUGACUUCAGGGGAAGACAACGAGCGGCCCUUCCCAUCCCCUCUCCAACUCCCCUCUCCGCUGAGAGCUGUUUUCAUCACUCAAUAAAAU
RNAcentral lists this long non-coding RNA (363 nucleotides) under Homo sapiens (human). RNAcentral describes it as "HSALNT0331221". The record is from RNAcentral. Lineage: Eukaryota; Metazoa; Chordata; Mammalia; Primates; Hominidae.